AACGGAGGAGCACGAAGGUGGGCUAAUCACGGUUGGACAUCGUGAGGUUAGUGCAAUGGCAUAAGCCCGCUUGACUGCGAGAAUGACAAUUCGAGCAGGUGCGAAAGCAGGUCAUAGUGAUCCGGUGGUUCUGAAUGGAAGGGCCAUCGCUCAACGGAUAAAAGGUACUCCGGGGAUAACAGGCUGAUACCGCCCAAGAGUUCAUAUCGACGGCGGUGUUUGGCACCUCGAUGUCGGCUCAUCACAUCCUGGGGCUGAAGUCGGUCCCAAGGGUAUGGCUGUUCGCCAUUUAAAGUGGUACGCGAGCUGGGUUUAGAACGUCG
This 323-nucleotide ribosomal RNA is filed under the name Vibrio parahaemolyticus. RNAcentral's name for it is "partial 23S ribosomal RNA". It matches the Rfam family "Bacterial large subunit ribosomal RNA", at positions 2299 to 2621 of the family's 2925-position model. Lineage: Bacteria; Pseudomonadati; Pseudomonadota; Gammaproteobacteria; Vibrionales; Vibrionaceae. The record is from RNAcentral.